CCAUAUUGCAGUGGUUGAUCGGGUCAUCGUUCAUGUCGCCUGGGGCUCGACCCGUAUAAACACAAAGAGUGCGGCUCGAAAUUGUCCUCUUCAGAUCAUUCUGAAGCAGGAGAGGACGGGAUGGUGAGGGCUUUAUAAGAAUCCCCUUGUUGCACUGCAGCCCCGAUUUCUCUCCUGUCCAGCGCCCCCCAGUUCACUCCGGUCUAUAGGAUUCUCUCUGCAUUUCAGUACUCCCAUCCAACCAUUUCAGAAUGGGAUGAAGGAGCAAAUCACAUACUAAGCAAUGAAGCAAACCAAUCUGCACUCAACAGCACUGACACUGCAUUCUGGAUAUUUACCCCUGGUUUUUCAUUUACUUUAAGGGUCAAGAGUUGCUGGGUUGUCCUUGUCCUUCAACUGUAACACUGUCCUAUCAGUCGGCUUCCCAUCAUGAGCACCUUGUUGCUUGGGUUCAAUUUUCUGGAUCUGGUGACUGCCUGCCACCAUGUAGUAAGACCAGUAUGAACUGUGAUUCACAGAAUUGUUACAGUGCAGAGGGAGACCUAGUGUGCAAUAACAGGCUGUUACUGUCUGCGACAUAGGCUGGCAUAUCUACUCAUAUAUUUCACGUCUCUAUGAGAGCUCAGUGACUGGAGUCCUUGUGGCCUUGUUCCAACCACAAAGGCAAUGCACAAUGAUAUAGCAAUUCUACUUCAUUAGCAAGUCCAGCAAUAGCAGCAACCUGCUACAUGGCCUCCAGAGGGAGAAGUAGCUGUUGAAGACCCAACAAGAAGGUGGAGGAAAAUGAUGAGAACUGUCUGGAGGAGACUACAAAAAAACAACUUAAGGAUGUCUUGCGUCAUCAUCACAAAAUUGUUGUCUGCUGAAACGGGACUUGCACUGUGAAGGAAUGGAUGGUAAUCCCAUCCCAGUGGUCACCAAGGCCUGCAUUUUUUUAUGUUAGCAGCUCCGUUCAGGAGCAACUGGGGACCUGUGUGUUAUCUCCCAAUUUUCAACCCAUAAAUCCACCUGAUUGAGAAUCCAGCAGUUCAAGGAGUAGGAAUGACCAACAUCACUGUCUUUCCCUGCUGCAGGCGCUAUCAACUGCACCUACAUUGUUUAAACAAUGCCCUAUCACUGAGGUGUAGUGUCAAUCAACAGAAAAGACUUCCACUCCAUCAAUUGUCAAAUUAUAUGAGACCAUUGAUGCUAGGUUUUGGUGGUCUGUAGUAGAGAUCCGGGAAGCCCUUAAGGCUCUUAAACACUAAGUGGAUGGAUGAGAAGUUAAUGGGGGGUGCAGGAGCA
Stegostoma tigrinum is the source of this 1284-nucleotide long non-coding RNA. RefSeq lists it as uncharacterized. The transcript is spliced from 5 exons. The record is from RefSeq and is a predicted model, not a curated record. Lineage: Eukaryota; Metazoa; Chordata; Chondrichthyes; Orectolobiformes; Stegostomatidae.